RNAcentral lists this long non-coding RNA (1368 nucleotides) under Citrus sinensis (sweet orange). RNAcentral's name for it is "long non-coding RNA (CSIN_LNC003573)". Lineage: Eukaryota; Viridiplantae; Streptophyta; Magnoliopsida; Sapindales; Rutaceae. The record is from RNAcentral.
UUGAAGAUAAGAACGAGAUAACAGAGAAAAUAAAAUGACCCAUGUCCAUAGAAAUCUACAUCAAAUCCUCAGGUCUCUGCACUGACACAUGCACAAAUAUUUCAAGAUCAUGGCAACUUCUGCAACUCAUUCCUUUUGAGCUUCAAUCUGGCCAUCGUAUAAAUAAGUGGGUAAUAUGUUACAACAAAGAUUAAGUGAUUAACCUUCACUAAACUGAAGCCAGAGAAAAAGCUGGUGUCAAGAUCAAAGAAGAUCCUGCGAGGUUUGGCUAAAGCAGUGCCUGUUUGUUUCUUGAAAGGUUACAAGAUAAGUUGAGGAGACUAGUAAAUUAGCUGGUGUCAGGUAAGGUAUUUGCCAACAUCAGGUUCAUGUAUGGCGCAUCAUAUUCAUGUAUGUUGUUCUGUCCUUUAUGUAUUAGUAUUGGUAAAUAACUCUAGAGUAUCUUAAUUAAUGGAUCUAUCUUUUGAGAGCUGAAUUUGGCAUAUGAAGUUUGUUGAAUCAAAGCAAAUCAGGAGUUGGUCUUAAAAGCAUGCUGUUCAAGGAAUGCAAUACAAACAGUAAAAUUAUUUGAAACAAUUCAUACGGCUUCCCUUUGAGUGAAAAAUGAUCUUUCAUUUGUUUUAGCGUGUGUUUCAUAAUUCUCUCUGCUUUUUUUUUUUUUUUUGCCCUCUCCUAUUUUGAGAAUUAGUUGUUGUUGAUUUGGUGAAAAAGGAAUUUGCUUUAUUUGGAUCCUAAGAAGGGGCAAUCAUGAUCCUGAUUCAUUUUUUAGGUUUCUUCAAAAAGAAUAUUUCAGUAAAAGAGUGCAGAGUAGGACACCAUCAAAGUAUAAAAAUAGGAUAAGAAACAAGGUUCUAAAAAUAAACCUACCAGUAAACGACGACCACUUUCAUUGCCUCUGCAGCUUCAUCUUCUAUGCUUCUUUGUUAGAUCCCACAUCGACUAGGUAUGAGACUAGUUGGUGGUUUAUUAACCCCAAGGCACCCAUUUCUUCCAAAUUGGUUUUUGAGGGUGAGUUCUAUCUUGUGGGUUCGUAAUAAUUUGUAUCAGAAUAGUUCGCUUCACUGAAGUUGGACUUAAGAGUGUGUGUGGCUUUGUGCCGUAGGGGUGACCCUCGUCAGGGUGUGUGAGUUCCACCCUCUAAAGUUGGCCCCAGGGCGUGUGAGUGGCUUCGUGGGGUUUUUUAUUUAAAUAUACCCCAUUUAUCCUUAAAUGCCAAAUCUAUAUUCCAUUACAUAUAUAUACCUCCUAAAAGUAUAAAAAAUCAAAAAUAACUUAAAAAAAUCAUCUAUUUACGUUUACUUCCUCUCUCAUGACUUCUACAUAAUAACACAACUAAAGUCGAGUAUACUCGACCUUUUACGAUUUUAC